RNAcentral lists this ribosomal RNA (533 nucleotides) under uncultured fungus. Its description in RNAcentral is "partial 18S ribosomal RNA". The stretch from base 138 to 432 matches the Rfam family "Group I catalytic intron". From Rfam's summary of the family: Group I catalytic introns are large self-splicing ribozymes. They catalyse their own excision from mRNA, tRNA and rRNA precursors in a wide range of organisms. Lineage: Eukaryota; Fungi. The record is from RNAcentral.
UNGUAACAAGGUUUCCGUAGAAUAAGUUCUGGAACUCCCGAUCUAAUCGGGGCUUAGUAUUUAGAUGAACCCUCUAUUUACAGUUGAUCCUUCCACAGUGACACUUAUAGAAGCCUAUGCAGCCCGUCAAGGGUGUACAACCGCGACUCAAAAGAAUGGUCGUAUUUGCAAGUUGGGUCUUUUGGCCGAGCAACAUAGCCAAAUUGCGGGAAGNUCCUAAAGCUUGAUAGUACCAACUACCUGUAGAAAUACUAGUAGGGCCUAUGUUAACAGCAUAGGGUACGGUAAAAACCUAUCGAGAUACUACAAUGGGNAAUCCGCAGCAAAGNCUCUAAGGGCGCCAGNCUAUGAGGAAUGUUCACAGACUAAAUGGUUACGGGAUGUUCCUAAGAACAUUUUAAGAGAUAGUCGGNCCUCCCGAGAAAUUUAGAGGCAUCAAGUCACUAGGAGCAGAAGCAUUUUACAGCCUGAAGUUAUCGGNAUCAUAACUAAAACAGACGCGCUUUUGCUCCCUAGAGAAAAAGAUACGUUCC